GUCUACGACCAUGCAACUCUGAACAUGCCCAAUCUCAUCUGAUCUUGGAAACUAAGUGGUGUCGGGCCUGGCUAAUACUUGGAUGGGAGACCACCUAGGAAUACCAGGUGCCAUAGGUG
Molecule: ribosomal RNA, 119 nt
Filed under: Pteropus alecto (black flying fox)
Lineage: Eukaryota; Metazoa; Chordata; Mammalia; Chiroptera; Pteropodidae
Also listed under: 1 other name
Source: RNAcentral